AACGAACGCUGGCGGCAUGCCUAACACAUGCAAGUCGAACGAACCCUUCGGGGUUAGUGGCGCACGGGUGCGUAACGCGUGGGAAUCUGCCCUUGGCUUCGGAAUAACAGUUAGAAAUGACUGCUAAUACCGGAUGAUGUCUUCGGACCAAAGAUUUAUCGGCCAGGGAUGAGCCCGCGUAGGAUUAGGUAGUUGGUGGGGUAAAGGCCUACCAAGCCGACGAUCCUUAGCUGGUCUGAGAGGAUGAUCAGCCACACUGGGACUGAGACACGGCCCAGACUCCUACGGGAGGCAGCAGUGGGGAAUAUUGGACAAUGGGCGCAAGCCUGAUCCAGCAAUGCCGCGUGAGUGAUGAAGGCCUUAGGGUCGUAAAGCUCUUUUACCCGGGAUGAUAAUGACAGUACCGGGAGAAUAAGCUCCGGCUAACUCCGUGCCAGCCGCCGCCGUAA
This 449-nucleotide ribosomal RNA is filed under the name uncultured bacterium. Its description in RNAcentral is "partial 16S ribosomal RNA". It matches the Rfam family "Bacterial small subunit ribosomal RNA", at positions 29 to 523 of the family's 1533-position model. The record is from RNAcentral.